GCCCGGAUGGUGGAAUCGGUAGACACGCAGGACUUAAAAUCCUGUGGCUAUAAUGGCUGUGCGGGUUCAAGUCCCGCUCCGGGUA
This 85-nucleotide transfer RNA is filed under the name Saprospiraceae bacterium. RNAcentral's name for it is "tRNA-Leu". It matches the Rfam family "tRNA". Rfam says of the family: Transfer RNA (tRNA) molecules are approximately 80 nucleotides in length. The record is from RNAcentral. Lineage: Bacteria; Pseudomonadati; Bacteroidota; Saprospiria; Saprospirales; Saprospiraceae.